GAUGAACGCUGGCGGCAUGCCUAAUACAUGCAAGUCGAGCGCACGGACGAGAAGCUUGAUUCUCUGCAAUUAGCGGCGGACGGGAAAGUAACACGUGGAUAACCUACCUAUAAGGCUGGGAUAACUACGGGACACCGUAGCUAAUACCGGGUCAUAUUUUGACCCGCCUGGUUCAAAAGAGAAAGACGCUCUAGCUGUCACUUAUAGAUGGUUCGCCACUUCAUUAGCUAGCUGGUAAGGUAACGGCUUACCAAGGCAACGAUGCAUAGCCGACCUGUGAGGGUGAGCGACCAGGCUUGAGCUGAGACACGGUCCAGAGUCCUACGAGAGGCAGCAGUAGGGACUAUGCCGGGAUGGGCGAGAGCCUGUUGGAGCAUCGCGGCAAGAGUGAUGAAGGUCUUCGGAGCGUAAGACGAUGUUAUUAGGGAAGUACAUAUGUGUAAGCAGCUAUGCACAUAAUGACGGUACCUACACAAAAAGCCACGGCUAACUACGUG
RNAcentral lists this ribosomal RNA (497 nucleotides) under uncultured bacterium. Its description in RNAcentral is "partial 16S ribosomal RNA". It matches the Rfam family "Bacterial small subunit ribosomal RNA", at positions 28 to 507 of the family's 1533-position model. The record is from RNAcentral.